This 253-nucleotide ribosomal RNA is filed under the name uncultured bacterium. RNAcentral describes it as "partial 16S ribosomal RNA". It matches the Rfam family "Bacterial small subunit ribosomal RNA", at positions 524 to 776 of the family's 1533-position model. The record is from RNAcentral.
UACGUAGGUGGCAAGCGUUGUCCGGAAUUAUUGGGCGUAAAGCGCGCGCAGGCGGUCCUUUAAGUCUGAUGUGAAAUCCCACGGCUCAACCGUGGAAGGUCAUUGGAAACUGGGGGACUUGAGUACAGAAGAGGAAAGCGGAAUUCCAAGUGUAGCGGUGAAAUGCGUAGAGAUUUGGAGGAACACCAGUGGCGAAGGCGGCUGUCUGGGGUAGUGCUGACGCUGAGGCACGAAAGCCAGGGGAGCGAACGGG